AUACGGAGGGUGCAAGCGUUACUCGGAAUCACUGGGCGUAAAGCGCGCGCAGGCGGCCAUUUAAGUUGGAUGUGAAAGCCUACGGCUCAACCGUAGAACUGCAUCCAAAACUAUUUAGCUAGAGUGUGGGAGAGGAAGAUGGAAUUAGUUGUGUAGGGGUAAAAUCCGUAGAGAUAACUAGGAAUACCAAAAGCGAAGGCAAUCUUCUGGAACACUACUGACGCCGAGGCGCGAAAGCGUGGGGAGCAAACGGGAUUAGAAACCCUAGUAGUCC
Molecule: ribosomal RNA, 274 nt
Filed under: uncultured bacterium
Lineage: Bacteria
Description: partial 16S ribosomal RNA
Rfam family: Bacterial small subunit ribosomal RNA
Source: RNAcentral